Molecule: ribosomal RNA, 504 nt
Filed under: uncultured bacterium
Lineage: Bacteria
Description: partial 16S ribosomal RNA
Rfam family: Bacterial small subunit ribosomal RNA
Source: RNAcentral
GAUAAACGCUAGCGGCAGGCUUAACACAUGCAAGUCGAGGGGCAGCAUAGAUUGUAGCAAUACAAUUGGUGGCGACCGGCGCACGGGUGCGUAACGCGUAUGCAACCUACCCGUCACCGGGGGAUAAUCCGGAGAAAUCUGGUCUAAUACCCCAUAACAUAUGGAUCGGCAUCGGUUCAUGUUGAAAUUUUCGGAGGUGACGGAUGGGCAUGCGUAGCAUUAGCUUGUUGGUGAGGUAACGGCUCACCAAGGCGACAAUGCUUAGGGGGACUGAGAGGUUUUCCCCCCACACUGGUACUGAGACACGGACCAGACUCCUACGGGAGGCAGUAGUGAGGAAUAUUGGUCAAUGGGCGCAAGCCUGAACCAGCCAUGCCGCGUGCAGGAUGACGGCUCUAUGAGUUGUAAACUGCUUUUGUACGAGGGUAAAGUGGGUUACGUGUAACCUUUUGAAAGUAUCGUACGAAUAAGGAUCGGCUAACUCCGUGCCAGCAGCCGCCGUAA